RNAcentral lists this ribosomal RNA (701 nucleotides) under uncultured fungus. RNAcentral's name for it is "eukaryotic LSU rRNA". The stretch from base 273 to 426 matches the Rfam family "5.8S ribosomal RNA". The record is from RNAcentral. Lineage: Eukaryota; Fungi.
CUUGGUCAUUUAGAGGAAGUAAAAGUCGUAACAAGGUUUCCGUAGGUGAACCUGCGGAAGGAUCAUUAGUGAAUCUUCAAAAGUCGGCUCAUUGGAUUGUGCUGGUGGAGACACAUGUGCACGUCUUGUGAGUCGCAAACCCACACACCUGUGCAUCUAUGACUCUGAGUGCCGCUUUGCAUGGCCCUUGAUUGGGCCUGGCACUCGAGUACUUUCACACACUCUUGAAUGUAAUGGAAUGUCUUGUUGUGCAUAACGCACAAAAACGAAACAACCUUCAACAACGGAUCUCUUGGCUCUCGCAUCGAUGAAGAACGCAGCGAAAUGCGAUAAGUAAUGUGAAUUGCAGAAUUCAGUGAAUCAUCGAAUCUUUGAACGCACCUUGCACCCUUUGGUAUUCCGAAGGGUACACCCGUUUGAGUGUCAUUGUAAUCUCACUACCAUCGACUUUUGUCUUUUGGUAUGUGGACUUGGAUGCUGUCGUGGAGAAUUCUACGGCUCGUCUGAAAUGCCUGAGUGUACCCCGCUUUGCGGCGUAUUCGGUGUGAUAAAUCUUCGCCGGAGUUGAUCCUUUUGGGUCGCGUUUGUAAUGGUGUGGCUCUAUGCUUCCAACCGUCUGUUUUAUGAGACAACCUCUGACAAUUUGACCUCAAAUCGGGUGGGACUACCCGCUGAACUUAAGCAUAUCAAUAAGCGGAGGA